AAACUUUCUCAAGCAGCUGUUUAACAUGUCAGCUUUCGGUCUCCCUCCAAAAUCUAUCACUUCAACAUCUUGACAGAAUUUACUAUAUAAUUUGUCAUAAUUUUUAGUUGUGUUUAUUUUCGCUCGGUGCAGAUAGUUGGAUAUAACCAUGAUAUAAUCCAAAACCAUCUUCCUAUCGAAUCCGGUCCACAGAAAUCUCUUAACAUACUUUCGCAUUCAAUAACUUUUUUCGCUCUGUUGUUCUUUGUGUCACCAUGGAGAAUUACGUGCAACAACAAGAGUUUUCUGAAGCUAAAAACCGGAUGAGUUUAUUUGAAUCAGAAUUUGAAGAUGGUUGCUUCCUGCAAAAGCUGAUGAAAGAGAACUCUCCUUCCUUUCCUAAACGUCGUAGACUGGAAGAGGAUGCUCAGAGUUGCAUCAGCAGCCGGACUGAUUCACCAGUAUCUGUUGACAGCUUCAUGGAUGAAAGUUUCUGUCCUACACCAACUGACUCUCCUUCCACUCGGGUGGCAACACUAUCGGAUUUUAAAAAACAUUAUAAAAAGGAUGAACUUUGGGCUGCUAUUGAAUCUAAUUACCAAUAUCUUAUGGAUGAUGAAAUCAUUGAGACAUGUAGGUCAACUGAAAGUGACUUGUCUCUUGAUGAUGAAGAUACUGCGAUAAAUCCCAAUGUAUCAUUCCAAGAAUUCAUGCAGCAAUACCAAGAACUGACUGAGUGGCUGAACCAGAUUCAGGCAUUCACUCAGCGGAAGGUGAUGAGUCGAUCAGAGAAAUAUCUAAACCAGACCUACCAUGAAGAGCUGUUACAAAGAUCCCCUCGCCACAAGUUAUUAAAUGACUAUGCUCGCCAGUUACUCAAGCGAUAUCCUGCUUUAAAAGGAGAUGUCUAUGUACGACUACAGCUAUUAAAUGCUCAGUGGCAGAAAAUUGAGCAAGCAAUCUCCCCAUCAAAGGGUGUACAAGACUGGAAGACAAUGCUUAUUGACUUGAAAGCUGAUAUAGAUCAUCUGUGGAAAUGGCUUCAAGGUGUUGAAAAUCGUCUUUUACCAUUGUGCAUACGAAGUAGUUGGACUACACCCGAGUUGGAAGAAAAGUUAACUGAACACCAGAUAUUGCAAAAGGAUAUAGAAUCCCAUUUGAGAGUGGUUUCAGCAGUACUUAAGCUUGGUGAAUGCCUUCAAAAUGGAAAAAAUGAAGAAAAGCUUCAUGAACAAUCUAUCACCUUUCCAGAAUCACUCCAUGAUGUCAGCCACAACCUGGAGAAAAGAUGGCAUACAAUUUGGUUACAGUCGCUUGAGUGGCAGUGUCGUUUAGAACAAGCAAUUAUCUCUAAGAAGAAACUGGAAAAUACCAAUCAUUUAUCAGCCUUUUCUCCUAUUAAAUUCUGGGGCCAAACUCCUCUUAGGCCAGGAAACCUAUCCUCUAAAACACAUUAUGAAUCCAGUGAAGAACAUGUUCAUGAUGUAGGUGGUAGUAGUUUAAGUGACCAAGGUGACGAAUCUGACUACAAAUUGCAAACAAAGCUUGGUAAAUCAACAGAAGAAAGCAUGCCUGGAAAACCUAAUGAAAACAACUCGGUGAGGAGAUUCUGUGAAAAACAGACUAAUGACUUGGUUUAUGGCAAGCAUGAUGACUAUAUUUUGAGCAUGAACAGAGAAAAUAUGUUUUUGGAAAAAGCACAACUUUAUCAAGACAAUGCUAACCCAUUCAAAAAACUGGAAGACCAUAACAAUGUUGGCAAGAAUAUACUUUCAAACUCUCCGCUACAGACUCAAAAGUUUUACAGUAUUAAAGAUCCGUCCAAAGUUGGAAAUAUUAACUCUUCAAAUCAGCAUUUUUAUCAAAUGGUCACUCUUGACACUGAUUGGUCUACAGAUUCAACCCAUGAUGAUAAUAAUACACCAAAAUUUUCCACCUACAGUUUCAACAAGACCACUGAUUCUGGUGUUAUUGCUGAUAUUAGCAACAACAAUAUACAGACUCAAAGUUGUAACUUUAGUGAAAAUAUUGAUAAACCUUUACAGAUUGAAACAAUCAGUUCUACAGCUGAUAAAAUAUGUUUCACUCCAGAGAAAAACAGCAUGGAACAAUCAUCAGGGAAAGAAUUAUCGACAGCAUCUGACUCAGGGACUGACAAGUCCCCAGACAUGUCUAUAGCGACCACAACAACAGCAUCAGAGAGCUGCAGCUCCUCACAAAAGUCUAAAAGAAAGAUAAAAAAAGGCCACAAACCUGCUUUCUCCAGCUGCUCUUCUUGGUCUGGCGGAGAUGCAGAAAAUGCUGUUGAAAGUUCUUGUGAUGCAAGUGGAGAAGAAAGUGGAGACAGUGAUGGCUCAGAUGAGUUUUCUACUGCCAGUGAAGACAGCCAGGAUAACCUAUAUGAACGAGCCAUGCAUCCACAUUCUCUUUGUAAUGAUAAAGUAGACUCUGCCAGAGUACCAGAGCAUUCAUCACUCCUUAUUCAAAGAGAAGGAAGACGAAAUAAAGAGAGGCCUUGGAGUGUUAUUGAGCUUUAUGAACAAAGCAAUGGUCUUGACUUGAAACCAUUUUUCAUAUCUGAAAGUGCUCUUGACCAGUUGCGUUCCCAGGAGGUAUCAACUCCAACUAAAAAUAAUCAAUCCUUUGAUUACGCAUCUGCUACAUUUCCUAGAUUAAAGAGGAAAGAAAAUAUUUUGAAAUCCCUUCAUGCAACGUCAGAUGAUGCCCUGUCUCAUCCAGGUGUGAAACGUAAACUUGAAAAUGACUUUCCAAAACUCUGCCAAAUUCUGAGCAGCUUAUCUCGAGAAAGCUUAAUGGGACAAAGUUAUCGUUCUGAGAGCGAAUCUGAGACAAAAGAACUUGCACGCCAACUACAAAACACAACCGUUUGUUCGGGUACAAGCGAUACAGAAUCUGAAAGUGGAGGAGCUUAUGGAACUGCUACGGAAGAUGCAUCAGAUGGGGAGUACUUCCCAGGUAGUAAUGGCUCCUUUUCCGAAACAGCUUGGGACAACUACCAGGCACCACUCUAUCCCACAGUCAGUGAUGAAGCUACAGAACCAGCUCUUCAGUGGUCAGGUGAAAUGGAGUUUGAAGAGGAAUUAUCACCUGUGUCUGCCAACAACACUAUAAUCACACAAGUUGUUGCAAAGCAGAGUGAUGAAGAUUCUGGAAAGUGCUCCCGCUUAGCACCGUGUGAUGAUAGUGACUCUGAUCUGGAUGACUUUUACCAUGUUCUGGACGAAUCUUCCAACCAACUGAAAGUCACAGAUCAUGCGUUACAAAAGAAAAAGAAAGACACAGGCUUGUAUUUGAACACCGGCCGAUAUACUGAACUGCUGGCUACUUGUCAGACCAAUAUUAAGUGCCUAGAAGUCAUCUACCAGCACCUGAACAGCGCCUCACCUGUAAGCAAGGAUGACUUGGACCGAAUGCAAGGAUUGCUGUAUCAGUGGGAGAAGUUGCGUGCCCUGGCAGUGGAGCGUCAGAGCCAGUGCCGAGAACUGUGCCAAAUUAAUGCAAGCCUCAUGACAGUUUACAACUGGCUACAUGAGUUGUCAACCCUCAUUAAAAAAGAACAGUUCAAAGGCUUAGCUGACGCACAACAAAUCAUCAAAAUUACACAGGAAAAGCAAGCCUUAUUUGAAGAAAAAAUGUCUACACUGAAUGAAUUAAAGGAAUCAGUGCUCUCCUUUAAAGAGCAGCACCCAACCAUAAGUGUUGAAGGUUUCCUCAUGAAGAUAGGGAAAUGCAUGACUGAGUUAAAUUCUCUAAGAGACAAAUGUGCUACAAAACUUCUUCUGUUACAAAAGUACUUAUUAGUAUGGUAUGAGUACAAUGAGACCAAGAAAGAACUAGACCAUAUGCUGAGGCAGCAACGGCAGCAGUUGGAUUGCAUAGUCUAUCAUUUAGAGGUGGAUUUACCAAAACAUCAACCCAAUGUGCAGAAUGAUUUGAGAGCUGUCCAGAAAAGCUUGAGUCUCUGCCAAGAAAAACUUGACCAACUGCAAUCUUACCGCCUCCAGUUGAUCUGCUAUUUGGACCGCUCAGCUUGUGCCGGCAUUUCUGCUGAUUAUUCUGAAUAUCGAAGUCUGCUGUUUGCUAUUAAACAGCAGUGUCAAAAAUCUAUUGCCAAGGCAGCUCGGCUCAACUCAAACAGGGCUGGUAAACCUGCUCGUAUUGAACACCCUCUACAGGCAAGCAACAAUGGUUCGUUAGGCAGAGGUCGCUCCCUUGUGUUUCCUUCCCAUAUCACUCCUACAUCUACUACUACUGACUUGGCUAAAGAGGAAACAAAUAUCAGAAGUGAAAAUGGAACUCCGACUUCGGCAGUUCCCAGAACUACAUCAUCUAACUUUCAAAAUACAAUGCAAGGGCUGGUGCUUGUCUGCGCAGCAGGACUUGCUUAUAUGGCAGACCCUGAAGCUCUUGAGAAGCUAAUCAGCUUCUCGAUCCAGUUGAAUCCCGAGUUAAGAUACAUCAAUGGUGCACCACCUAUUUGAGGCCCCUAUAAAAAAGUUUUGUGUUCAAUGAUAUCUACCCCCAUUUUACUACAAAAUAUUGCAACAAUUUUUGUUGUUAUGGCUUAAAAUUUUUCUAUUCAUGAUCAACACUUACUGGUACCGAUUCAUUUUCCAGUGGGAAUAUGGUGAGGGGCACUAUUCAGCAGUACAAUAAUGUCAAGAGUAAAACAAAAUGAAUUCAUCCAAAUUUUAAAUUUCCAAGAUUUUAAAAACAAUAACAAAGAAACGUCACAAAUCAGUUUUGAUUUAUCAACAUUUUCCAAAUUAACAGGAAAAAAAAUUUGUUUAUUUUUGGCUUUAUUGAACGAAGAUGAAAAAGAAAAAUUGGACAAAACAAUAAUGUAUUUUGAAUUUUUUGGCUCUAACCGUGAUUUCAUGUUUUACGACAAGGAUUUGGUGCUGUUUAAUUUAACAAAACAGUCAAAGUAUUGCUGAAUAGAUAUCCUUUUGUGAGGUGGAUUUCAGGUAGCUUCUCCAUACCAGUAAGUGUUGUUCAUAGCAAUUUUAUUUAACCCUCGUUUCUAACUAGCUUUGUGUGAAAUUUAGGCUGUGUAAAAUUCACAUAUAUAUAUAUAUAUAUAUAUAUACAUACAUAUAUAAAAUCUCAAAACAUGAAAUUUAGUAACGAAACCAACACAGCUCAACAAAGUAUAGUUGACUAUAUACAGUAUUUAAAAAUAGGCUGGAACCAAUAUAUAUAUAUCUAUACAUUUAUUCAAAUUUAGAUGAAGGCUUUGAUUUAAGCAGUGUUCUCUUCCAAUAUAUAUAUAUAUAAAUAUAUAUAUAUAAAAUCAUUUAACACUGGUUGGAAGUUUAUUGUGAAAGUUUUUUACAUCUAGUUGUGCCUAUUUUUUUUUAUAUUUCUCUCUCUAAAAUAAAUUAGAGGGUUUUACAUUGCAUUGAAAUGUUCGGCUAAUAAAGUGACAUUGUUCAUUUGGAUGGAAUUAUUCUUGGGCAAUGUUUUUAUUUAUUUAAAUCCGUUUCUGGAUUUCAAAAGUCAGAAAUUUAUUUUUUUUAAAUGCUUCUGUGGAGCAGAAUUUUGGAUUGUAGAGAAUAAAGAAUAAUAUUUAUUUUGUAAAAUUAUAAUUGACAAAAACUGAUCUGAACUACUGUUAAGUGACAUUUUGAUUUCAGUAUAUUUUUUUUUUACCUGUAUUUAUAUAUUUUAGCUUUAAUUUAUUAUUUUUUUAAUUUAUACGUUUUUUUUUUUUUCAAAUAAAAUUUUAAAUGUAUUAAGUAUACAAAUUCUAUUUAUACAUUUAAUUCGAUAUUAUUGGGGGUUCCUUUACAUUGUCUCCCUAUUCAAUUAAUUUAUAAUAAUUCUGAUACACAUAAAACUGUAUUCCUGUCUAAUUUUGCUUCAGACCCCAGGAAUGAGUUUGAAUCUUAGUUUACAGUUGAUAUAAUUCAGUUUGAUUAUAGAAUACUCACAUGGAACCGAGAAGUGAUAAGGAUUUAAAUUCCAACAUGUAGGGCAUAAUAUUUCCCUUUUCUCUUGGAGAAAAAAAAGUGUGGGGCUGGAACAUUGCAAGUUUAAACAAGGUUUGUAAUCUACAUUGGUUAAAUAUUAUCAGCCUGCUUCCAAGGAGAAAACGGUAGUUUUUUAUGAUUAGUUGAGAAUAUUCUUUAACACAAGUUGAAAGAUAUAGACCUUGGAUUUAAUGGCACGAAUUAAACAUUGUUUAUCAGGUUAACCAAAUUUACCAUGAUGUAAGAUUUUCUUAUUUUAUUGGUGAUGAAAACAAAAGAAAACACACCGUCAACUGCAGUAUUAUGACACUUGCUAUGGGACCAGAAUAUUGAGUUGGUAAUGUUAGUGGGAAAUCUGGUUACGUAAUUACAUGAAAUGUUUCAAAGCAUGAUAUUGGAGCAAAUUUAAGAGGACAGCAAAUUUGUUGGCUCUUCCAAAAUUCUGUAGUCAUUUCAAGACUAGAAUUCAAUAAGACACUGUAACCUUUCUUGGAAUUCCCAUGACUGUCAUGAUCUGAUUAGUGAACAUUAUGAAAAAAAAAGUUUUAUAUUUUAUUUUUUU
RNAcentral lists this unclassified non-coding RNA (6534 nucleotides) under Octopus sinensis (East Asian common octopus). Its description in RNAcentral is "uncharacterized LOC115209158, transcript variant X2". The record is from RNAcentral. Lineage: Eukaryota; Metazoa; Mollusca; Cephalopoda; Octopoda; Octopodidae.